AAAAUUAGUAGGAGAUCGAUUAACUCUUUUUCCAAGCAGUCCCAUUACCAUUUGUCCGACUAUGACACCACCAUAUUUUCUUACACACAAUCUACAAAAAAAGGAACCCAAUGGUGUAAUUUGUGUGAAGAGAAAACAAGAAGGGGUAUAGGAAAAAAAAUAAAGAAAGAAAGAAUGUACAAUGCUCAAUAGCCGGCCUGAUGAUUGAAAGAAGGGGAACAGAUAGCUCGCGGAUCAUGUCAUGCACUUUAGGUAUGAGGUACAUGUACUUAUGUGAUUCAAAUCUAUCGAUUGUAGAGAAUUCGUAUGUGUAUUCGAUGAGCGAGGGAGGUGCGGGCAUAUAAA
This 345-nucleotide unclassified non-coding RNA is filed under the name Bombus terrestris (buff-tailed bumblebee). Its description in RNAcentral is "misc RNA ENSBTSG00005024935.1". The record is from RNAcentral. Lineage: Eukaryota; Metazoa; Arthropoda; Insecta; Hymenoptera; Apidae.